AGAGAGCUUGCUCUCGGGUGACGAGUGGCGGACGGGUGAGUAAUGUCUGGGAAACUGCCUGAUGGAGGGGGAUAACUACUGGAAACGKUAGCUAAUACCGCAUAACGUCGCAAGACCAAAGAGGGGGACCUUCGGGCCUCUUGCCAUCAGAUGUGCCCAGAUGGGAUUAGCUAGUAGGUGGGGUAACGGCUCACCUAGGCGACGAUCCCUAGCUGGUCUGAGAGGAUGACCAGCCACACUGGAACUGAGACACGGUCCAGACUCCUACGGGAGGCAGCAGUGGGGAAUAUUGCACAAUGGGCGCAAGCCUGAUGCAGCCAUGCCGCGUGUAUGAAGAAGGCCUUCGGGUUGUAAAGUACUUUCAGCGGGGAGGAAGGYGAURAGGUUAAUAACCUYGUCRAUUGACGUUACCCGCAGAAGAAGCACCGGCUAACUCCGUGCCAGCAGCCGCGGUAAUACGGAGGGUGCAAGCGUUAAUCGGAAUUACUGGGCGUAAAGCGCACGCAGGCGGUCUGUCAAGUCGGAUGUGAAAUCCCCGGGCUCAACCUGGGAACUGCAUUCGAAACUGGCAGGCUAGAGUCUUGUAGAGGGGG
RNAcentral lists this ribosomal RNA (593 nucleotides) under Enterobacter ludwigii. RNAcentral describes it as "bacterial SSU rRNA". It matches the Rfam family "Bacterial small subunit ribosomal RNA", at positions 73 to 660 of the family's 1533-position model. Lineage: Bacteria; Pseudomonadati; Pseudomonadota; Gammaproteobacteria; Enterobacterales; Enterobacteriaceae. The record is from RNAcentral.